GGUGUGGUCGGUUUCUGGUAACGUUUUUUCUUUCUGAAAAGUUGCCGGACCCUGUGGCAGGGGCGCGCCAUCAAUCACAACGGUGCCUGCGGGCAUGAACGGAGA
Molecule: non-coding RNA, 105 nt
Submitted as: unclassified sequences
Source: Rfam